RNAcentral lists this ribosomal RNA (596 nucleotides) under Escherichia coli. RNAcentral's name for it is "partial 23S ribosomal RNA". It matches the Rfam family "Bacterial large subunit ribosomal RNA", at positions 612 to 1209 of the family's 2925-position model. The record is from RNAcentral. Lineage: Bacteria; Pseudomonadati; Pseudomonadota; Gammaproteobacteria; Enterobacterales; Enterobacteriaceae.
AUAAUGGGUCAGCGACUUAUAUUCUGUAGCAAGGUUAACCGAAUAGGGGAGCCGAAGGGAAACCGAGUCUUAACUGGGCGUUAAGUUGCAGGGUAUAGACCCGAAACCCGGUGAUCUAGCCAUGGGCAGGUUGAAGGUUGGGUAACACUAACUGGAGGACCGAACCGACUAAUGUUGAAAAAUUAGCGGAUGACUUGUGGCUGGGGGUGAAAGGCCAAUCAAACCGGGAGAUAGCUGGUUCUCCCCGAAAGCUAUUUAGGUAGCGCCUCGUGAAUUCAUCUCCGGGGGUAGAGCACUGUUUCGGCAAGGGGGUCAUCCCGACUUACCAACCCGAUGCAAACUGCGAAUACCGGAGAAUGUUAUCACGGGAGACACACGGCGGGUGCUAACGUCCGUCGUGAAGAGGGAAACAACCCAGACCGCCAGCUAAGGUCCCAAAGUCAUGGUUAAGUGGGAAACGAUGUGGGAAGGCCCAGACAGCCAGGAUGUUGGCUUAGAAGCAGCCAUCAUUUAAAGAAAGCGUAAUAGCUCACUGGUCGAGUCGGCCUGCGCGGAAGAUGUAACGGGGCUAAACCAUGCACCGAAGCUGCGGCAGC